This is a long non-coding RNA of Solanum tuberosum (potato), 161 nucleotides long. RefSeq lists it as uncharacterized. The transcript is spliced from 3 exons. NCBI's taxonomy places the organism in Eukaryota, Viridiplantae, Streptophyta, Magnoliopsida, Solanales, Solanaceae. The record is from RefSeq and is a predicted model, not a curated record.
CUCGUCUUCUUCAACGAAGCAGCAAAAAAAUAUAGAGAAAUUCUUAGACCAACAAAAUGGCUAGAGGUUUGAAGAAGCAUCUGAAGAGGCUCAAUGCCCCAAAGCAUUAGAUGAUUGAUAAACUUGGUGGAGCAUUUGCUCCCAAGCCAUCCUCUGGGCCA